This 465-nucleotide ribosomal RNA is filed under the name uncultured bacterium. Its description in RNAcentral is "partial 16S ribosomal RNA". It matches the Rfam family "Bacterial small subunit ribosomal RNA", at positions 28 to 507 of the family's 1533-position model. The record is from RNAcentral.
GACGAACGCUGGCGGCGUGCUUAACACAUGCAAGUCGUACGGUAAGGCCCUUUCGGGGGUACACGAGUGGCGAACGGGUGAGUAACACGUGAGUAACCUGCCCACAACUUUGGGAUAACGCUAGGAAACUGGUGCUAAUACUGGAUAUGUGCUUCUGCUGCAUGGUGGGGGUUGGAAAGCUCCGGCGGUUGUGGAUGGACUCGCGGCCUAUCAGCUUGUUGGUGGGGUAGUGGCCUACCAAGGCGGCGACGGGUAGCCGGACAGAGAGGGUGACCGGCCACAUUGGGUCUGAGAUACGGCCCAGACUCCUACGGGAGGCAGCAGUGGGGAAUAUUGAACAAGGGGCGCAAGCCUGAUGCAGCAACGCCGCGUGCGGGAUGACGGCCUUCGGGUUGUAAACCGCUUUCAGCAGGGACGAAGCUUUUUGUGACGGUACCUGCAGAAGAAGCACCGGCUAACUACGUG